ACUUGCUUGUAGUCAAACAGAAGGCAGAGCUGCGAAUCAAAUCCAGGUUUGUCUCGACAUGCCACUAGCUCAUACUUCCCUUGGAUCAGCCACUAAAUGGCUUUCACUCCAGUGAGCAGCGACCAGCACUCCUGGGGACAUCAGGGCACUCACGCUCCUUAACACUGGACAGGAGACCUGCGCAGUCAUUCUAGCACCAGAAUUAUGGAACAUUUAUCAACAGCCUAAAAUAAAGACAACACGAGGAGAAUUUGGUUGCUUAUAUAGAUUCAAGGUACAAUCCUGCUGGAUUCUGGGAUUACAGGACUGUAGACAAAAGAGAAAUCAUCAUGGACUGUUCACUGGACAAAAUUUCAUGGAGAGGAGAAGACCUUUGGCGGUUCAUGGAUGUUCUAUAAUAAGUUAGAAGAAAUAUCACAGUGUGCAUGCACAGAAGUACGACCAUGUGAAGAGGUAGCAAGAGAGCAGCAAUCUACAAGCCAAGGAAAGAGGCCACAGAGGAAACCAACCCUGCCAGCAUCUUGAUCUUGGACUUCCAGCUUCCAGAACUGCCUUGUUCUUCUACCUUAUGAUGAUUCAAGCAAUGCCUGCUGCUUUUCCAAUCUGGGUUAGUUCAGAGUUAGGCAAACAGAGAACCAGGGACCCCACUCCCAUGCCGACAGUAUGGGCUGCUGUCUUCAGGACCAUUGCAAGUGUCCUUCACGGUUCGGUUCACAUUUCACAAGCCCCAUGAAGUCUAUCUGGAUUUUCGGUAAUGUUUCCUGUCUCUGAAAUCUUAUGACAUUUAUGUCUGUAUCAGCCAUUUGAUGCUUGAUUAUCUAUUUUUCAGAUGGAUGUCUUGCCUUUUCCUCUACACACUACAGGAAGAGUGGCCACCCCUGCCAAGGGCCUAGUAUAGUACCCUAUACAUGUAGCUGAUCAGUUGAUUGUUACUGAUCAUAUGUAUCCUGCAUCAUGUUAUAAAAAAUUAACACAGUGCUUGGCA
This 985-nucleotide long non-coding RNA is filed under the name Homo sapiens (human). RNAcentral describes it as "long intergenic non-protein coding RNA 1359". The record is from RNAcentral. Lineage: Eukaryota; Metazoa; Chordata; Mammalia; Primates; Hominidae.